This 975-nucleotide ribosomal RNA is filed under the name uncultured Halalkalicoccus sp. Its description in RNAcentral is "bacterial SSU rRNA". It matches the Rfam family "Archaeal small subunit ribosomal RNA", at positions 93 to 1064 of the family's 1478-position model. The record is from RNAcentral. Lineage: Archaea; Methanobacteriati; Methanobacteriota; Halobacteria; Halobacteriales; Halalkalicoccaceae.
GUAACACGUGGCCAAACUACCCUCUGGAUCGGGAUAACCUCGGGAAACUGAGGCUAAUACCGAAUAUCGCUCUCAUCCUGGAAUUGGAGAGAGCACGAAACGCUCCGGCGCCAUAGGAUGUGGCUGCGGCCGAUUAGGUAGACGGUGGGGUAACGGCCCACCGUGCCGAUAAUCGGUACGGGUUGUGAGAGCAAGAACCCGGAGACGGUAUCUGAGACAAGAUACCGGGCCCUACGGGGCGCAGCAGGCGCGAAACCUUUACACUGCACGAACGUGCGAUAAGGGGACUCCAAGUGCGAGGGCAUACAGUCCUCGCUUUUCCCUACCGUAAGGUGGUAGGUGAAUAAGAGCUGGGCAAGACCGGUGCCAGCCGCCGCGGUAAUACCGGCAGCUCGAGUGAUGGCCAAUAUUAUUGGGCCUAAAGCGUCCGUAGCUGGCCGAACAGGUCUGUCGGGAAAUCCGCUCGCUCAACGAGCGGACGUCCGGCGGAAACCAGUUGGCUUGGGACCGGAAGACCCGAGGGGUACGUCCGGGGUAGGAGUGAAAUCCUGUAAUCCUGGACGGACCGCCGGUGGCGAAAGCGCCUCGGGAGAACGGAUCCGACAGUGAGGGACGAAAGCUUGGGUCACGAACCGGAUUAGAUACCCGGGCAGUCCAAGCUGUAAACGAUGCUCGCUAGGUGUGGCACUGGCUACGAGCCAGUGCUGUGCCGUAGGGAAGCCGAGAAGCGAGCCGCCUGGGAAGUACGUCCGCAAGGAUGAAACUUAAAGGAAUUGGCGGGGGAGCACUACAACCGGAGGAGCCUGCGGUUUAAUUGGACUCAACGCCGGACAUCUCACCAGCACCGACAGUGUGCGAUGAAGAUCAGUGUGAUGAGCUUAUUGGAGCCACUGAGAGGAGGUGCAUGGCCGCCGUCAGCUCGUACCGUGAGGCGUCCUGUUAAGUCAGGCAACGAGCGAGACCCGCAUCCUUAAU